RNAcentral lists this ribosomal RNA (260 nucleotides) under uncultured Neisseriales bacterium. Its description in RNAcentral is "partial 16S ribosomal RNA". It matches the Rfam family "Bacterial small subunit ribosomal RNA", at positions 524 to 783 of the family's 1533-position model. Lineage: Bacteria; Pseudomonadati; Pseudomonadota; Betaproteobacteria; Neisseriales. The record is from RNAcentral.
UACGUAGGGUGCGAGCGUUAAUCGGAAUUACUGGGCGUAAAGCGAGCGCAGACGGUUACUUAAGCAGGAUGUGAAAUCCCCGGGCUCAACCUGGGAACUGCGUUCUGAACUGGGUGACUAGAGUGUGUCAGAGGGAGGUAGAAUUCCACGUGUAGCAGUGAAAUGCGUAGAGAUGUGGAGGAAUACCGAUGGCGAAGGCAGCCUCCUGGGAUAACACUGACGUUCAUGCUCGAAAGCGUGGGUAGCAAACAGGAUUAGAU